AACGAACGCUGGCGGCAUGCCUAACACAUGCAAGUCGAACGAGACCUUCGGGUCUAGUGGCGCACGGGUGCGUAACGCGUGGGAACCUGCCCUUAGGUUCGGAAUAACUCCCCGAAAGGGGUGCUAAUACCGGAUAAUGUCUUCGGACCAAAGAUUUAUCGCCUUUGGUUGGGCCCGCGUUGGAUUAGCUAGUUGGUAGGGUAAAAGCCUACCAAGGCGACGAUCCAUAGCUGGUCUGAGAGGAUGAUCAGCCACACUGGGACUGAGACACGGCCCAGACUCCUACGGGAGGCAGCAGUGGGGAAUAUUGGACAAUGGGCGAAAGCCUGAUCCAGCAAUGCCGCGUGAGUGAUGAAGGCCUUAGGGUUGUAAAGCUCUUUUACCCGUGAUGAUAAUGACAGUACCGGGAGAAUAAGCUCCGGCUAACUCCGUG
This 433-nucleotide ribosomal RNA is filed under the name uncultured bacterium. Its description in RNAcentral is "partial 16S ribosomal RNA". It matches the Rfam family "Bacterial small subunit ribosomal RNA", at positions 29 to 507 of the family's 1533-position model. The record is from RNAcentral.